Molecule: non-coding RNA, 73 nt
Organism: Araneus ventricosus
Lineage: Eukaryota; Metazoa; Arthropoda; Arachnida; Araneae; Araneidae
Source: the annotation of a GenBank genome assembly
UGCCGAAACCCGGAAUCGAAGCAGGGCCCUUAAGAUUUUAAGUCUAACGCUCUUCCAAAUGAGCUAUUUCGGU